This is a non-coding RNA of Oncorhynchus mykiss (rainbow trout), 965 nucleotides long. The record is from RefSeq and is a predicted model, not a curated record. Lineage: Eukaryota; Metazoa; Chordata; Actinopteri; Salmoniformes; Salmonidae.
AGCAUAAAAGGCGAAGGAACCUUCCAGUCCUUCCAUUUUCUUCUCCCAUCCAACCGAGGAUGCCGACGACUCGAAUGUGCUGCUCUGGAAUGCAGGACAGAUGCCGGGAAGUCCAGAAGAAUGACACGUCUGCAUUACUUGUGACAUGACUUCCUGACUUCAAGGCAUCUGAACAGACUCUCCACUUGGAGUUCCAUUCUGGAAUAGGAAUGUGGUGCUGAAUACCUGAUUCCAGACCACGACUGGUGCGAUUUGUGAAAAUCCAGACGUGGGGAUGAAGUUUCCUGAAUGGAUUAACACGCCCUUCACUGGGUCUGGGUGCUGUGGUCAGUGGCAUUGCACCGUGGACUCCAACAUACUGACUGUAACCUGAAGCUUUUGUCUUCCUAGGUUCUUCUGUAUGUGGCUGAACAGGAAGCCGUGAUGCCAACUAGACUGACUCCUCUCCUUCAGGUCCUGAUGGUGGUACCAGACAAGUCACUAGAAGAUGCCUGUUACUGAACUACCUCAAGGUUCUGACUGUUGUACCAGACUGGCCACUAGAAGGAAGCUCUUUGCUGUGACAGUGAAUGAAGGUGUGGAAUCCAAGUUAUUUUGAUGUCCUUGUGGGUCUGCAGUCUUCAGGAAGGUUUCUGCCCCUCUGGUUGAGGUCCUGGUGUCUACAGGGUUUGGAAAGGUCCUGACUGUUCCAGCCUGGCCACUGGAGAACUGUUGCUGCACGACCUCAAGGUUUCUGCCCCUGGUUGAGGUCCUGGUGUCUGCAGGGUUUGGAAAGAUCUGGUUGGCUGCUGAGGUGUUGCUGUGCUGGUGGAGUGGGAAGCUCUCCUGUUUUACACCUGCAAGCCCUCGUACACUCCUGAUUGGUCAGCAAGGAAGUGGGAUGUCUCGGUGGAACUGGGGGGAAACCAGGCCAAGUCAAUUCAACCCUGUGACUGUUCUGAUGUGUAAAUAAACCUACAAAUUAA